RNAcentral lists this ribosomal RNA (253 nucleotides) under uncultured bacterium. RNAcentral's name for it is "partial 16S ribosomal RNA". It matches the Rfam family "Bacterial small subunit ribosomal RNA", at positions 524 to 776 of the family's 1533-position model. The record is from RNAcentral.
UACAGAGGUGGCAAGCGUUGUUCGGAAUUACUGGGCGUAAAGGGCGCGUAGGCGGCCUUCUAAGUCAGACGUGAAAUCCCCCGGCUUAACUUGGGAACUGCGUCUGAUACUGGAAGGCUUGAGUGCGGGAGAGGGAUGUGGAACUCCAGGUGUAGCGGUGAAAUGCGUAGAUAUCUGGAGGAACACCGGUGGCGAAGGCGGCAUCCUGGACCGACACUGACGCUGAGGCGCGAAAGCUAGGGGAGCAAACGGG